CCACCACGCACAAUGGGCAACAGGACAUGGGCUGAAACUUGAAUUGGCGUCAGGAAGGAAGCAUAUCCAUUGCAACCACAUGAAACUGAAAACAUGUGGGCAAGGCAACCAUGACAGCACCAGCAUGUUCUACCAACUCCCACCAAUGGGAUGCAAACAGUGCCCCUUUGUGCAGAGGUGACAGAAAUGAGGCUGGUAGCUCCUUCAGGGUGCUGUAAAGUGAGGUUGGAACUCAGAGCUAGAGAAGAAGAGCCUGGAGCUUGGUGUGACAGUUGGAGCUCCAGUAACUGUCUUGGGUGAUGAGUUACCCUGGGAUGGAAGUUGGCGCUGAGGAUGGCGUGUGCAGAUUGCAGUGUGGUUCUCUCUCCCACUCCGCCCUGGAUCUGCUGACAUGCCUCAUUUUCUCCUCGUCCUGCCAGCAGCUGUAUGUCCUUCCUCACGUCUAGCCACCGUGCCUUUCAGGAUGCCAGCUCUCUGUGCUACGGCUGUGCCUCUUCCCUGAAUUACUCAGGUCUAUGCUAAGUUUUGGGCUCUCGCAACUUCCCUGGAUUCUCCCCAGAAUGAGAGUACAAGCCCCGGUUUUCGGAUUCCCCAAUCAACAUGAGGGUUUUGCCACUCCGCAACGGGCUCAGUUCUGUAGCAGUGUCUGGAAUGACCAGCAUCUAAGCCUUCUUUCCUUCCUUUCUGGUCCUUACACUUCCUCCCCAACUUGUAGAAACUUUAUAGGUGGCAAAAGGUACAAGGAACAAGAUAACGUCUCUCUUUUGUUAUAUAUGACUCUAAAUUUCAAAACAUCUAUGACUUUUGAAACACAAAACUGUCAGAAUUAUUUCCCUUCUUCUCCCCAUCCUGUGAUAACAUCCUUUUUCUGAGAUAAUAAAAGCCGUUGGCCCAGGUUCCCAGAGUGGGGAAAGGGUUGGCAGCCAUAGGAAGUACUACCGGGCCAAAGCAUCAGUGUGUAUCUUGCAAUACCUUACCACAUUGAGAAAAGGGGGAGGAGACACUAGGAGAAGAGCUGAACAGCAUCAGAGCCAGAGAUGGAUCAGGUCAGUAUUGGCAAUGUAGUUAAGAGCAGUGUGAUGCUGCUGCUGAAAUAUCAGAGUCCUGUAUGUCUCCCCUGUCUCUCCUCAAAGUCCCAUGGGGGGGACCUCAUCACUCAUCAUGAGAGGAAGCUGCUCUCAAGCCCACCUUGCAGCAUGGAGGAAAGAAAGGAGCCCACAUCUGAGGAUGCCCAGCAUGGCCUGGGCCCUUGAACAACAGGGUCACAGCCAAGGAUUCUCACCCCUCCAAUGUGGCAGAGGGGCCCCACUCUGGGGAAGGUGGCCUGCUCAGGGUCACAGUGGGUGGAGCAGCUUUCAAGGCACCCAGCAUUUAAUAAUUGAUCCUGUCAAAAAUCAUCGAUGGGUGCUAAAACAAGUGGGCCUAAGUUUGCUGAGGAACAGGCAUUCAUAGCAUCUCCACAUAUGAUAUUCAAAGUCUCAAAGUCUCUUUCAAAGCCACCAAAUUUAACGUCACCAGUUAUGGGACAAAUUGACAUUGUGUGCCUUCUGAUAGGAUGCACUGAGAAAAACACAUCGCUUUUGUGACAUUUCUGGCCAAAAUGUCUAACCUGAAUCUAAUCACAAGGAAACAUCAGACAAACCCAAACUGAGGGACAGUCUACAACAGUAACUGGUCUGUAUUCCCGAAAAACAUCAAGGUCACGAAAAUCAAAGGGAAGGCUAAGGAGCCAUUUCCAGUGGAAAAAGACUGAAUAGAAGGGACACCCAAAAGCAACGUGGAUUUGAUCCUAGACCAGAGAGGAAAGGGUGUUUAUGACGGCCAUCUUUGAGGCAGGCAGCUGCAUCUGAAAGGGCCCCUCGAUUGGAUGGUUGCAUUUCUCUCCAUGUUAAUUUCCUGAUUUGGGUGAUUGUAUUAUCUUUAUGUAAGGACGCUUGUUCUUAGGAAAUAAAUGCUGAAAUAUUUAGGGAUGAAGGAGCAUUCUUUCUCCAUCCCAUUUCUUCCCCCACCCCUUCUCUUCCUCCUUCCCUCUCCCACCCCCAAGCAAGUGUGGUGAAAUAUUCAUCAGUGGGGGAUCUGGGUAAAAGGUACUGGUGAGUUGUUUUUUGCACUAUUCCUGUAAGUUUUCUACACAUCUCAAGUUAUUUCAAUAUAAAAAAUUACCACCCCAACCCACACCCUCUAAAAUAUUUGAGGAACAUGAGAUCAGGGAGGGGAGGAGCCCCGAGCGCCCCCUAAAUGUCCAUGUUCAGAUCAGAAAGGGGCUUUGAAAAGCCUGAAGUCUAACCCUCUCAUUUCACCUCUGAAGGCUGAGACACCAGAGAGGUACAGGCACACAGGUCCCAUGAGCCCAGUGCAAAUGCGUGUAAGCCCCUUGCCAUACUGCCUCCCUGCUUCUGAAUCCCAGAUCUGCCAUUUGGUAACUAAGAGAACUUGAGCAAGCUACUGACAGGCUCCAGGACCUGCUACCCCCAAAUAUGAUACCUUGGCACAUUGACUGUUUCAAGCUGAAGGAAUCUGUAAAACAGCAGGUGCAGGAAGAUCUCUCUGACCUUUCCCUGAGGCAGGUCAUAAGCCCCUCCAUGAGAGGUGCCCUUUCUAUGCCUGGAGAAGAGGAGGAUCCUUAUCUCCAAGUCACAAGGACAUGUAGAGGAACCUAGAUGCAGGCUUGCUGUCUUCCCCAGCUGACCACUCUUACUUCCUACCUUUCUUUUGUCCUGUCACAUUUU
This 2729-nucleotide long non-coding RNA is filed under the name Homo sapiens (human). RNAcentral's name for it is "non-protein coding lnc-GPR27-2:1". Lineage: Eukaryota; Metazoa; Chordata; Mammalia; Primates; Hominidae. The record is from RNAcentral.